AUUGAACGCUGGCGGAAUGCUUUACACAUGCAAGUCGAACGGCAGCACGGACUUCGGUCUGGUGGCGAGUGGCGAACGGGUGAGUAACAUAUCGGAACGUAUCCAAUAAUGGGGGAUAACGAGUCGAAAGAUUCGCUAAUACCGCAUACGCCCUACGGGGGAAAGCUGGGGACCUUCGGGCCUGGCGUUAAUGGAGCGGCCGAUGGCAGAUUAGGUAGUUGGUAGGGUAAAGGCCUACCAAGCCGACGAUCUGUAGCUGGUCUGAGAGGAUGAUCAGCCACACUGGGACUGAGACACGGCCCAGACUCCUACGGGAGGCAGCAGUGGGGAAUUUUGGACAAUGGGCGCAAGCCUGAUCCAGCCAUUCCGCGUGAGUGAAGAAGGCCUUCGGGUUGUAAAGCUCUUUCGCAAGGGAAGAAAACUUAGCCACUAACAUUGGUUGAGGUUGACGGUACCUUGAUAAGAAGCACCGGCUAACUACGUGCCAGCAGCCGCAGUAA
This 500-nucleotide ribosomal RNA is filed under the name uncultured bacterium. Its description in RNAcentral is "partial 16S ribosomal RNA". It matches the Rfam family "Bacterial small subunit ribosomal RNA", at positions 30 to 523 of the family's 1533-position model. The record is from RNAcentral.